RNAcentral lists this ribosomal RNA (468 nucleotides) under uncultured bacterium. RNAcentral describes it as "partial 16S ribosomal RNA". It matches the Rfam family "Bacterial small subunit ribosomal RNA", at positions 28 to 507 of the family's 1533-position model. The record is from RNAcentral.
GACGAACGCUGGCGGCGUGCUUAACACAUGCAAGUCGAACGGAAAGGCCCUGCUUUUGUUGCUUUCUCGUGUGCCGAACGCGUGUGUAUCACAUGUGUAACCUCCCCUUGUCUUUCUGAUAACUUCACGGAACUCGGGCUAAUACCCCGUAUAAUCUCCUGCUGCAUGUUGUGGGUUGGUAAGUUUCGGCUGUUCGGGAUGUACUCGCUGCUUAUCCGCUUGUUUGUGUGGUAGUUGCUUACCAAGGCUUCGACGGGUAGCCGGCCUGAGAGGGUGACCGGCGACAUGAGGACUAAGAUACGGCCCAGACUGCUAUGGGAGGCAGUAGUGGGGAGUAUGGCACAAUGGGGGGGAGCCAGAUGUAGCAGCGUCGGGUGCGGGAUAACGGGCUUCGGGGUGAAAACAGAUGUCGACGGUGACGAAGAGGGAGUGACGGUAAUGGGUAAAGAAGCAACGGCUAACUACGUG